AAAUCAUUUUGGGGACAAUUUCUUAUCAAUCCUUUGUAGCGUUCCCAUGCCUCGUAGAGUGACUCACCCAGUUGUUGCUCAAAGUUUAUGUUGUCUUUCUUGAGUUU
This is a small nucleolar RNA of Lactuca sativa (garden lettuce), 107 nucleotides long. NCBI's taxonomy places the organism in Eukaryota, Viridiplantae, Streptophyta, Magnoliopsida, Asterales, Asteraceae. The record is from RefSeq and is a predicted model, not a curated record.